CUUUGAUCCUGGCUCAGGAUAAACGCUGGCGGCGCACAUAAGACAUGCAAGUCGAACGAACUUAACCAUUAGUUUACUAUUGGAGCGGUUAGUGGCGGACUGGUGAGUAACACGUAAGCAACCUGCCUAUCAGAGGGGAACAACAGUUAGAAAUGACUGCUAAUACCGCAUAUGCCUUGAGUAUCACAUGGUACAAAAGGGAAAGGAGCAAUCCGCUGAUAGAUGGACUUGCGUCUGAUUAGAUAGUUGGUGAGGUAACGGCCCACCAAGUCGACGAUCAGUAGCCGGACUGAGAGGUUGAACGGCCACAUUGGGACUGAGAUACGGCCCAGACUCCUACGGGAGGCAGCAGUCGGGAAUAUUGCGCAAUGGAGGAAACUCUGACGCAGUGACGCCGCGUGCAGGAAGAAGGUUUUCGGAUUGUAAACUGCUUUAGACAGGGAAGAAACAAGACAGUACCUGUAGAAUAAGCUCCGGCUAACUACGUGCCAGCAGCCGCGGUAAUACGUAGGGAGCAAGCGUUAUCCGGAUUUAUUG
RNAcentral lists this ribosomal RNA (537 nucleotides) under uncultured Bacillota bacterium. RNAcentral describes it as "bacterial SSU rRNA". It matches the Rfam family "Bacterial small subunit ribosomal RNA", at positions 11 to 556 of the family's 1533-position model. The record is from RNAcentral. Lineage: Bacteria; Bacillati; Bacillota.